GCCCGGUUAGCUCAGCGGUAGAGCGCCUGCCUUACAAGCAGGAUGUCGCUGGUUCGAAACCGGCACCGGGCA
This is a non-coding RNA of Synechococcus sp., 72 nucleotides long. NCBI's taxonomy places the organism in Bacteria, Bacillati, Cyanobacteriota, Cyanophyceae, Synechococcales, Synechococcaceae. The record is from Rfam.